Molecule: long non-coding RNA, 276 nt
Filed under: Brassica napus (rape)
Lineage: Eukaryota; Viridiplantae; Streptophyta; Magnoliopsida; Brassicales; Brassicaceae
Description: long non-coding RNA (BNAP_LNC025600)
Source: RNAcentral
GGCAUCAGUGUUGCUUUCUUGAGGAGUAGAGGUAGAAGGAUUAGCUUGUUGUUGGGAAGAAUGGUGUCCUUUGUUGUUGAAACCAGGGGGAGGGUUUUGCUGAAGCUGAUAGCUGCCUUACUGGUUGUUCCUAGGCUGAUAACCACUCUGUUAGUUGUUGGAAUAGGAUUUCUGUUGGUAGUUGUUGUACUGAAAGUUUGACUCUUUUUUGUACCAGCUACCAUUGUUGUUAAUGAAACACAGCUCUUCUUGACCUUCCAAACCCUCAACCUCAUG